RNAcentral lists this small RNA (568 nucleotides) under Pan troglodytes (chimpanzee). RNAcentral describes it as "processed transcript". The record is from RNAcentral. Lineage: Eukaryota; Metazoa; Chordata; Mammalia; Primates; Hominidae.
UAUACAACCUCCAAUGAGUUCCCUGAUGAUACCCUGAACUUCAUCAAGACGCACCCGCUCAUGGAUGAGGCAGUGCCCUCCAUCUUCAACAGGCCAUGGUUCCUGAGAACAAUGGUCAGAUACCGCCUUACCAAAAUUGCAGUGGACACAGCUGCUGGGCCAUAUCAGAAUCACACUGUGGUUUUUCUGGGAUCAGAGAAGGGAAUCAUCUUGAAGUUUUUGGCCAGAAUAGGAAAUAGUGGUUUCCUAAAUGACAGCCUUUUCCUGGAGGAGAUGAGUGUUUACAACUCUGAAAAGUAAGUGGAAUAUUUGGUUCUUUCUUAGUAAUUAUUUGUUAUGCUAUUAUGGCCCCUUUCAUUCAGAGAAAAUCAUGACCGACUUAGGUUUUAUGCAUUUUUAGAUGACUUUUUAGUGCUGUUUGUAAAAAUUUAACACCUAAAAAGCAUUAUUUUCUCCUUGCCAAUGUGUGUGUGUGUGUUUAUAUACAUAUAUGUGUGUGUGUUUAUAUAGAUACAUAUAUAUGUGUGUGUUUACGUGUGUGCAUGAGCAUAAGGGUUUGUUUGUUUCA